RNAcentral lists this ribosomal RNA (397 nucleotides) under uncultured bacterium. RNAcentral's name for it is "bacterial SSU rRNA". It matches the Rfam family "Bacterial small subunit ribosomal RNA", at positions 521 to 916 of the family's 1533-position model. The record is from RNAcentral.
UAAUACGUAGGGUGCGAGCGUUAAUCGGAAUUACUGGGCGUAAAGGGUGCGCAGGCGGCUCCGCAAGUCAGGCGUGAAAUCCCCGGGCUUAACCUGGGAAUGGCGCUUGAAACUACGGGGCUGGAGUAUGGCAGAGGGAGGUGGAAUUCCACGUGUAGCGGUGAAAUGCGUAGAGAUGUGGAGGAACACCGAUGGCGAAGGCAGCCUCCUGGGCCAAUACUGACGCUCAUGCACGAAAGCGUGGGGAGCAAACAGGAUUAGAUACCCUGGUAGUCCACGCCCUAAACGAUGAUGACUAGUUGUUGGAGGAGUUAAAUCCUUUAGUAACGCAGCUAACGCGAGAAGUCAUCCGCCUGGGGAGUACGGUCGCAAGAUUAAAACUUAAAUGAAUUGACGG